RNAcentral lists this long non-coding RNA (1491 nucleotides) under Sus scrofa (pig). RNAcentral's name for it is "lncRNA (ENSSSCG00060007043.1)". Lineage: Eukaryota; Metazoa; Chordata; Mammalia; Artiodactyla; Suidae. The record is from RNAcentral.
GAAAGGAAAGAAAGAAUAAUAGGUAAGAAAUGGGGAUGGGGUGCACAAGAGCUAUGAAGGGGAAGAGAGACUAAUAUGUGGGAAAUGAGGGUGGGGUGGACAGAGAGAGGAAGGGGGUGUACAUGUUGAGAACACUGAAGAUAUAGACUUGAGAAAGGAUACUUUUAUACUUGAACCUUAAGGUACAGGAUGGCCAUUUGGGAUUUAUGGUCAAAAAGAGCUUCAAAAUACCACCAGUUAACAAAGAAGUGGGAGAGAAUUGCACCUUCAGGAAUCAUCCUUGGGGUCUGGGUCAGGGCUGGUCUCAUGGAAGGGUGGUCUGGGAGAAUGCCUGACCUGUUUUGAGGGGGGGCUCAGGAAAAUCCCCUAAAAACUUCUGAUCUUGCCCCACCCACUGGCUAACCCAGUGGGUUGAAAUGCCACUGUUAGAUCAUGGACAAGUCCCUAGGAGGGAGGGAUCCAUGUCUUAAGAGGGUUUAUAUAUUCCUGGGCUGGGUCGAGAGGAAGAGAGCACAAAUUCAUAAUGAAUGUGAGGAAACUAGGAAUAAAAUCCAGAAGUCAAAAUUCACAUUUUCCAGUCCAUUUUUCCCAGCCCAGGCUCAGUAAACUAAGCAAUGAGGAUGACGUGGAGGAAGUCAGGGGCCAGGCACCCAAAGGUGGGUGUCUUUCGUCCUGUCUCCUGACCAAGGGUACAUGCUGUCAGCUAGAAGUUACUGCCUUCUCUACUGAUACAUAUGCACACUCCUCCCUUUGGCCUGAAAUGCUCUUUCCUCCCCCACCAAACCUGAUAGUACCUACACAUCUUCUAGAACCAAACCCAAGUGGCUUCUGCCAUCUCCUCCAGGCACCAGGUCUCCUCACACCACUUCAGCCUGUCCCAAAUCACAUUUAAUUCUUUGUACCUAUGCUUGUCUCUCCUUUGAAAACUCUGCAUGCCUCUGAGAGCUGAGGACCACCGAAUGACUACCGAAUGGACACACACAUACACAGAUCAUUAUUAUUUUUAUGUGAAACUGUGGUGGGGACCCUUUCAGGUAAGUGGGGCUGACACUGUGUACAGGUCUUGGAAUUUGAAAGCACACGUGCACAAAACCAUUCCCGAGUCUGCCAUGCCUUCUGUCUGGGGACCUCCCAUGGACAGAAGUGGGCCCCAGCCUCAGGCCAAACCCAGCUUUGCGAAGGGGUCCCACCCAUGUGUAAGCAGCUUCUUACUGUUUUCUCCAGGGAAGGCUCCCUGUGCGCUGGAUGGCGAUCGAGUCACUAAAUUACAGCGUGUAUACAACCAACAGCGACGUAUGGUCCUAUGGAGUAUUACUGUGGGAGAUUGUUAGCUUAGGUGAGUACCCAUGUUUACCUGCCAGGUUAGGCUCUAGGCAAAGGGGGUGGGCUGCUCCUGUGCUCCUUCACUGUAUACGUCCAUUUGUACUCAGUGUCACCAGAUGUCACUGGGAAGAAGAACCUUAGGGGUUUCCAUGUAUGAGUGUAUUUAUC